RNAcentral lists this ribosomal RNA (468 nucleotides) under uncultured bacterium. RNAcentral's name for it is "partial 16S ribosomal RNA". It matches the Rfam family "Bacterial small subunit ribosomal RNA", at positions 28 to 507 of the family's 1533-position model. The record is from RNAcentral.
GACGAACGCUGGCGGCGUGCUUAACACAUGCAAGUCGAACGGAAAGGCCCUGCUUUUGUGGGGUGCUCGAGUGGCGAACGGGUGAGUAACACGUGAGUAACCUGCCCUUGACUUUGGGAUAACUUCAGGAAACUGGGGCUAAUACCGGAUAGGAGCUCCUGCUGCAUGGUGGGGGUUGGAAAGUUUCGGCGGUUGGGGAUGGACUCGCGGCUUAUCAGCUUGUUGGUGGGGUAGUGGCUUACCAAGGCUUUGACGGGUAGCCGGCCUGAGAGGGUGACCGGCCACAUUGGGACUGAGAUACGGACCAGACGCCAACGGGAGGCAGCAGUGGGGAAUAUUGCCCAAUGGGCGGAAGCCUGAUGCGGCAACGCCGCGUGCGGGAUGACGGCCUUCGGGUUGUAAACCGCUUUCGCCUGUGACGAAGCGUGAGUGACGGUAAUGGGUAAAGAAGCACCGGCUAACUACGUG